GUGGAUUAGAUACCCUGGUAGUCCUAGCUGUAAACGAUGGAUGCUAGGUGUUGGCAGAUCUAACCCUGCCUGUGCCGAAGCUAACGCGUUAAGCAUCCCGCCUGGGAACUACGAGCGCAAGCUUAAAACUCAAAGGAAUUGACGGGGACCCGCACAAGCAGCGGAGCGUGUGGUUUAAUUCGAUGCUACACGAAGAACCUCACCCAGGUUUGACAUACAGGUGGUAGUGAAGCGAAAGCGGAACGACCCGCAAGGGAGCCUGUACAGGUGUUGCAUGGCUGUCGCCAACU
Molecule: ribosomal RNA, 290 nt
Filed under: uncultured bacterium
Lineage: Bacteria
Description: partial 16S ribosomal RNA
Rfam family: Bacterial small subunit ribosomal RNA
Source: RNAcentral